This 490-nucleotide ribosomal RNA is filed under the name uncultured bacterium. Its description in RNAcentral is "partial 16S ribosomal RNA". It matches the Rfam family "Bacterial small subunit ribosomal RNA", at positions 30 to 507 of the family's 1533-position model. The record is from RNAcentral.
AUUGAACGCUGGCGGCAGGCUUAACACAUGCAAGUCGAACGGUAGCAGGAGAAAGCUUGCUUUCUUGCUGACGAGUGGCGGACGGGUGAGUAAUGCUUGGGAAUCUGGCUUAUGGAGGGGGAUAACUACGGGAAACUGUAGCUAAUACCGCGUAGAAUCGGAAGAUGAAAGUGCGGGACCGCAAGGCCGCAUGCCAUGAGAUGAGCCCAAGUGGGAUUAGGUAGUUGGUGGGGUAAGGGCCUACCAAGCCUGCGAUCUCUAGCUGGUCUGAGAGGAUGGCCAGCCACACUGGAACUGAGACACGGUCCAGACUCCUACGGGAGGCAGCAGUGGGGAAUAUUGCGCAAUGGGGGGAACCCUGACGCAGCCAUGCCGCGUGAAUGAAGAAGGCCUUCGGGUUGUAAAGUUCUUUCGGUAUUGAGGAAGGUUGAUGUGUUAAUAGGACAUCAAAUUGACGUUAAAUACAGAAGAAGCACCGGCUAACUCCGUG